This 246-nucleotide ribosomal RNA is filed under the name uncultured bacterium. Its description in RNAcentral is "partial 16S ribosomal RNA". It matches the Rfam family "Bacterial small subunit ribosomal RNA", at positions 87 to 334 of the family's 1533-position model. The record is from RNAcentral.
AGAUGCGACCGGCGCACGGGUGAGUAACACGUAUCCAACCUGCCGAUAACUCGGGGAUAGCCUUUCGAAAGAAAGAUUAAUACCCGAUGGUAUAAUCAGACCGCAUGGUCUUGUUAUUAAAGAAUUUCGGUUAUCGAUGGGGAUGCGUUCCAUUAGGCAGUUGGUGAGGUAACGGCUCACCAAACCUUCGAUGGAUAGGGGUUCUGAGAGGAAGGUCCCCCACAUUGGAACUGAGACACGGUCCAA